UUUUAUGGAGAGUUUGAUCCUGGCUCAGGAUGAACGCUGGCGGCGUGCCUAAUACAUGCAAGUCGAGCGAACAGACGAGGAGCUUGCUCCUCUGACGUUAGCGGCGGACGGGUGAGUAACACGUGGAUAACUUACCUAUAAGACUGGGAUAACUUCGGGAAACCGGAGCUAAUACCGGAUAAUAUAUUGAACCGCAUGGUUCAAUAGUGAAAGACGGUUUUGCUGUCACUUAUAGAUGGAUCCGCGCCGCAUUAGCUAGUUGGUAAGGUAACGGCUUACCAAGGCAACGAUGCGUAGCCGACCUGAGAGGGUGAUCGGCCACACUGGAACUGAGACACGGUCCAGACUCCUACGGGAGGCAGCAGUAGGGAAUCUUCCGCAAUGGGCGAAAGCCUGACGGAGCAACGCCGCGUGAGUGAUGAAGGUCUUCGGAUCGUAAAACUCUGUUAUUAGGGAAGAACAAAUGUGUAAGUAACUAUGCACGUCUUGACGGUACCUAAUCAGAAAGCCACGGCUAACUACGUGCCAGCAGCCGCGGUAAUACGUAGGUGGCAAGCGUUAUCCGGAAUUAUGGGCGUAAAGCGCGCGUAGGCGGUUUUUUAAGCUGAUGUGAAAGCCCAGGCUCAACCGUGAGGGUCAUUGGAAACU
This 648-nucleotide ribosomal RNA is filed under the name Staphylococcus epidermidis NIHLM095. RNAcentral describes it as "bacterial SSU rRNA". It matches the Rfam family "Bacterial small subunit ribosomal RNA", at positions 1 to 634 of the family's 1533-position model. The record is from RNAcentral. Lineage: Bacteria; Bacillati; Bacillota; Bacilli; Caryophanales; Staphylococcaceae.